CCUACGGGUGGCUGCAGUGGGGAAUAUUGGACAAUGGGGGCAACCCUGAUCCAGCCAUGCCGCGUGUGUGAAGAAGGCCCUCGGGUUGUAAAGCACUUUCAGUGAGGAAGAACGCCUGGUGGUUAAUACCCAUCAGGAAAGAGAUCACUCACAGAAGAAGCACCGGCUAACUCCGUGCCAGCAGCCGCGGUAAUACGGAGGGUGCGAGCGUUAAUCGGAAUUACUGGGCGUAAAGCACGCGUAGGUGGCUUGAUAAGCCGGUUGUGAAAGCCCCGGGCUCAACCUGGGAACGGCAUCCGGAACUGUCAAGCUAGAGUGCAGGAGAGGAAGGUAGAAUUCCCGGUGUAGCGGUGAAAUGCGUAGAGAUCGGGAGGAAUACCAGUGGCGAAGGCGGCCUUCUGGACUGACACUGACACUGAGGUGCGAAAGCGUGGGUAGCAAACAGGAUUAGAUACCCUGGUAGUC
Molecule: ribosomal RNA, 465 nt
Filed under: Vreelandella stevensii
Lineage: Bacteria; Pseudomonadati; Pseudomonadota; Gammaproteobacteria; Oceanospirillales; Halomonadaceae
Description: partial 16S ribosomal RNA
Rfam family: Bacterial small subunit ribosomal RNA
Source: RNAcentral